Molecule: long non-coding RNA, 598 nt
Organism: Oncorhynchus tshawytscha (Chinook salmon)
Lineage: Eukaryota; Metazoa; Chordata; Actinopteri; Salmoniformes; Salmonidae
Source: Ensembl
CCUAGUGGUUAGAGCAGGUAGCCUAGUGGUUAGAGCAGGUAGCCUAGUGGUUAGAGCCAGGUAGCCUAGUGGUUAGAGCCAGGUAGCCUAGUGGUUAGAGCCAGGUAGCCUAGUGGUUAGAGCAGGUAGCCUAGUGGUUAGAGCAGGCAGCCUAGUGGUUAGAGCAGGUAGCCUAGUGGUUAGAGCAGGUAGCCUAGUGGUUAGAGCAGGUAGCCUAGUGGUUAGAGCAGGUAGCCUAGUGGUUAGAGCAGGUAGCCUAGUAGUUAGAGCAGGUAGCCUAGUGGUUAGAGCAGGUAGCCUAGUGGUUAGAGCAGGUAGCCUAGUGGUUAGAGCCAGGUAGCCUAGUGUUUAGAGCCAGGUAGCCUAGUGGUUAGAGCCAGGUAGCCUAGUGGUUAGAGCCAGGUAGCCUAGUGGUUAGAGCCAGGUAGCCUAGUGGUUAGAGCCAGGUAGCCUAGUGGUUAGAGCCAGGUAGCCUAGUGGUUAGAGCCAGGUAGCCUAGUGGUUAGAGCCAGGUAGCCUAGUGGUUAGAGCCAGGUAGCCUAGUGGUUAGAGCAGGUAGCCUAGUGGUUAGAGGCAGGUAGCCUAGUGGUUAGAGCAG